Molecule: unclassified non-coding RNA, 209 nt
Filed under: soil metagenome
Description: partial contains 5.8S ribosomal RNA, internal transcribed spacer 2, and large subunit ribosomal RNA
Source: RNAcentral
AACACUGUUAACCUGCGGUACCUGCGGAGGGAUCAUUACCGAGUUUACAACUCCCAAACCCCUGUGAACAUACCUAUCGUUGCUUCGGCGGGUUGCCCCAGCGCCUUCGGGCCUGGACCCAGGCGCCCGCCGGAGGACCCAAACUCUUGUUUUUUUGAGUAUCUUCUGAGUAAACAAGCAAAUAAAUUAAAACUUUUAACAACGGAUCU